CUCACACACUCAGACUAUAGUGUCAAUUCCCGUACCACAGAAUGAUCAAAAAGGAGGGAGAGUAAAGGUUAGAGGGAGAACUCCAGGACACCUUCUGGAGCAGAGAGCAGGCUUGUCCUUGCAGAGUUGAAUCAUCCACGCCCUCCUAAGUGCCCCCACUGACUCUUUACAGAAGAGAGAAAUUUGGACACAAGGAUACAGACACAGAGGGAGGACGGCCAUGCGAAGACAGAGGCAGAGAUUGAAAUUAUGCUUCCGCAAGCCAAGGAACACCACGGACUCUGGGAACCACCAGAAGAAGCUGGAAGGGACAAGGAAGGAUUCUUCCCUAGAGCCUUCGGAGACAGCAUGGGCGUGCUGACACCCUGGUUUCAGAUUUCUAGCCUCCAGGACUGUGAGAGAAUAAAUUUCUGUUAUUUUAAGCCACCA
This 429-nucleotide long non-coding RNA is filed under the name Equus caballus (horse). RNAcentral's name for it is "lncRNA (ENSECAG00000047753.1)". Lineage: Eukaryota; Metazoa; Chordata; Mammalia; Perissodactyla; Equidae. The record is from RNAcentral.